This 640-nucleotide unclassified non-coding RNA is filed under the name Hevea brasiliensis (rubber tree). Lineage: Eukaryota; Viridiplantae; Streptophyta; Magnoliopsida; Malpighiales; Euphorbiaceae. The record is from RNAcentral.
GAGAGACCAUGAUACCUGCAUAAGUAAGAGAGGCACUGAAGUGAGGUCAGCAUGGGCUGCUUUCUGGGUCAUUUUGAUAGGCUUAGGAAUGGCUGCUGGUGGAGGAUACCUCGUCUACAAAUAUAGAUUGAGGUCUUACAUGGAUUCUGAAAUCAGAGCUAUCAUGGCACAAUACAUGCCGCUGGACAGUCGAGCAGAAGUACCAAGCCAUGUCAAUGACAAUCGUGCCUGAAAAUGACAAGCUCCAUUAUUGAUCUUCAAGGAUUUCAAGUAAUGCUGGGUUGAUGUGGUUCAUGCCAUACAUUUUCUUUUUGGAGUAAAGGAUUAUGAGCCUGAAUUAAGCCUGUAAUGUAUAUGGCCAAUACAAAAAAAAGUGCAGAUUAGAUGUCUUGUUUACUGGAACCAUAACAUGCUUAACGGUUGAAGUAGGGAUUGGAUUUAAGGCAGAUUGAUAGGGAUGUGGCUGCAACGUUUUAGAAUUUUCAUUCUCAUCCCUAAAUCUAGCCACUUAAUUUAUAUGGUGAUUCUGUAAUUCAUUAACAAUGACCCUUAUUUUUUUGAGCCUGGGAUCAUACCUACGUGUACGCAUGAUCAAAGAUUGUGUUAAAAGUAUACCUUUGCCUAUUCCAAUAUGCCUGCC